Molecule: ribosomal RNA, 254 nt
Filed under: uncultured bacterium
Lineage: Bacteria
Description: partial 16S ribosomal RNA
Rfam family: Bacterial small subunit ribosomal RNA
Source: RNAcentral
UACGUAGGCAGCGAGCGUUGUUCGGAGUUACUGGGCGUAAAGGGUGUGUAGGCGGUUUGUUAAGUUUGGUGUGAAAUCUCCCGGCUCAACUGGGAGGGUGCGCCGAAUACUGAAUGACUUGGAGUGCGGGAGAGGUGAGUGGAAUUCCUGGUGUAGCGGUGAAAUGCGUAGAUAUCAGGAGGAACACCGGUGGUGUAGACGGCUCACUGGACCGUAACUGACGCUGAGACACGAAAGCGUGGGUAGCAAACAGG